UGGUUGUCGUCAGCUCGUGUCGUGAGAUGUUGGUUAAGUCCCGCAACGAGCGCAACCCCUAUUGUUAGUUGCUAUCAUUCAGUUGGGCACUCUAGCGAGACUGCCGGUAAUAAACCGGAGGAAGGUGGGGAUGACGUCAAAUCAUCAUGCCCCUUAUGACCUGGGCUACACACGUGCUACAAUGGUUGGUACAACGAGUUGCGAGUCGGUGACGGCGAGCUAAUCUCUUAAAGCCAAUCUCAGUUCGGAUUGUAGGCUGCAACUCGCCUACAUGAAGUCGGAAUCGCUAGUAAUCGCGGAUCAGCACGCCGCGGUGAAUACGUUCCCGGGCCUU
RNAcentral lists this ribosomal RNA (334 nucleotides) under uncultured Streptococcus sp. RNAcentral describes it as "bacterial SSU rRNA". It matches the Rfam family "Bacterial small subunit ribosomal RNA", at positions 1046 to 1382 of the family's 1533-position model. The record is from RNAcentral. Lineage: Bacteria; Bacillati; Bacillota; Bacilli; Lactobacillales; Streptococcaceae.